GGGCAGCAUGGUCUUAGCUUGCUAAGGCCGAUGGCGACCGGCGCACGGGUGAGUAACGCGUAUCCAACCUGCCUUACACUCUUGGACAGCCUUCUGAAAGGGAGAUUAAUACAAGAUGUUAUCAUGAGUAAGCAUUUUCGCAUGAUUAAAGGUUUACCGGUGUAAGAUGGGGAUGCGUUCCAUUAGAUAGUAGGCGGGGUAACGGCCCACCUAGUCUUCGAUGGAUAGGGGUUCUGAGAGGAAGGUCCCCCACAUUGGAACUGAGACACGGUCCAAACUCCUACGGGAGGCAGCAGUGAGGAAUAUUGGUCAAUGGACGAGAGUCUGAACCAGCCAAGUAGCGUGAAGGAUGAAGGUUCUAUGGAUUGUAAACUUCUUUUAUACGGGAAUAAACGGAUCCACGUGUGGAUUUUUGCAUGUACCGUAUGAAUAAGGAUCGGCUAACUCCGUGCCAGCAGCCGCGGUAAUACGGAGGAUCCGAGCGUUAUCCGGAUUUAUUGGGUUUAAAGGGAGCGUAGAUGGGUUGUUAAGUCAGUUGUGAAAGUUUGCGGCUCAACCGUAAAAUUGCAAUUGAUACUGGCAGUCUUGAGUACAGUUGAGGUAGGCGGAAUUCGUGGUGUAGCGGUGAAAUGCUUAGAUAUCACGAAGAACUCCGAUUGCGAAGG
This 665-nucleotide ribosomal RNA is filed under the name uncultured Bacteroidales bacterium. RNAcentral's name for it is "bacterial SSU rRNA". It matches the Rfam family "Bacterial small subunit ribosomal RNA", at positions 67 to 721 of the family's 1533-position model. The record is from RNAcentral. Lineage: Bacteria; Pseudomonadati; Bacteroidota; Bacteroidia; Bacteroidales.